GGCUAUGUAGCUCAGUUGGUUAGAGCACCGCACUCAUAAUGCGGGGGUCACAAGUUCAA
This 59-nucleotide transfer RNA is filed under the name Acinetobacter baumannii 653020. Its description in RNAcentral is "partial tRNA-Met". It matches the Rfam family "tRNA", at positions 1 to 56 of the family's 71-position model. From Rfam's summary of the family: Transfer RNA (tRNA) molecules are approximately 80 nucleotides in length. Their secondary structure includes four short double-helical elements and three loops (D, anti-codon, and T loops). Lineage: Bacteria; Pseudomonadati; Pseudomonadota; Gammaproteobacteria; Moraxellales; Moraxellaceae. The record is from RNAcentral. RNAcentral also lists the same sequence under 9 other names.